AUUGAACGCUGGCGGCAUGCUUUACACAUGCAAGUCGAACGGCAGCGCGGGCUUCGGCCUGGCGGCGAGUGGCGAACGGGUGAGUAAUGCAUCGGAACGUGCCCAGUAGUGGGGGAUAGCCCGGCGAAAGCCGGAUUAAUACCGCAUACGACCUGAGGGUGAAAGCGGGGGACCGAAAGGCCUCGCGCUAUUGGAGCGGCCGAUGUCGGAUUAGCUAGUUGGUGGGGUAAAGGCUUACCAAGGCGACGAUCCGUAGCUGGUCUGAGAGGACGACCAGCCACACUGGGACUGAGACACGGCCCAGACUCCUACGGGAGGCAGCAGUGGGGAAUUUUGGACAAAGGGGGCAACCCUGAUCCAGCCAUGCCGCGUGCGGGAAGAAGGCCUUCGGGCUGUAAACCGCUUUUGUUCGGGAAGAAAUCCUCUGGGCUAAUACCCCGGGGGGAUGACGGUACCGGAAGAAUAAGCACCGGCUAACUACGUG
This 484-nucleotide ribosomal RNA is filed under the name uncultured bacterium. Its description in RNAcentral is "partial 16S ribosomal RNA". It matches the Rfam family "Bacterial small subunit ribosomal RNA", at positions 29 to 507 of the family's 1533-position model. The record is from RNAcentral.